RNAcentral lists this ribosomal RNA (269 nucleotides) under Halobacillus sp. BoM6. RNAcentral describes it as "partial 16S ribosomal RNA". It matches the Rfam family "Bacterial small subunit ribosomal RNA", at positions 533 to 801 of the family's 1533-position model. Lineage: Bacteria; Bacillati; Bacillota; Bacilli; Caryophanales; Bacillaceae. The record is from RNAcentral.
GGCAAGCGUUGUCCGGAAUUAUUGGGCGUAAAGCGCGCGCAGGCGGUUCCUUAACUCUGAUGUGAAAGCCCACGGCUCAACCGUGGAGGGUCAUUGGAAACUGGGGAACUUGAGGACAGAAGAGGAGAGUGGAAUUCCCCGUGUACCGGUGAAAUGCGUAGAUAUGUGGAGGAACACCAGUGGCGAAGGCGACUCUCUGGUCUGUUUCUGACGCUGAGGUGCGAAAGCGUGGGUAGCAAACAGGAUUAGAUACCCUGGUAGUCCACGCC